AAAAACUUAGGUUAACUAAACCAAGAGCCUUCAAAGCCCUAAAUAAGGACUCCCGCUUCCUUAGUUUUUGA
Molecule: transfer RNA, 71 nt
Filed under: Anolis tropidonotus
Lineage: Eukaryota; Metazoa; Chordata; Lepidosauria; Squamata; Anolidae
Description: tRNA-Trp
Source: RNAcentral